RNAcentral lists this long non-coding RNA (1401 nucleotides) under Phascolarctos cinereus (koala). Its description in RNAcentral is "lncRNA (ENSPCIG00000033009.1)". The record is from RNAcentral. Lineage: Eukaryota; Metazoa; Chordata; Mammalia; Diprotodontia; Phascolarctidae.
UGUAUGCUGUCUUUAUUAUGUGAUACUACAUGACUCUAAUAACAGCCUUCUUAUAUUUUUAUUCAGAUUGUAGAAUCUUCUUGGGGGCCAUGUUCAGUUAAAAAGCCAUGUGUAACAGUUGUUGACUUGGCCAAUUCUAGGGUGAAAUGUGUCCCCUCCUUACAAGGAGAGAGGACUGAGGGCACUCCCAGAAGUCAUUAUGACCAUAAACACACUUUGAUAAGUUGUUUUAAAAUCCCUGAAGUCUCAAGCCAAUGAAGACCACAGCUUCUUCCCUGACUGACAUGUAGAUGUGUUUCUUGCUUGUUGCCAGUUUUUCUACUGCCGUUCUUCUCCCAGCAUCCCAGAAUCUCUGGAUUGGAAGGUCUCCCAAAUGUACACUGAAACAAAAUCUCUGAAUCUGUAUAGUACAAGAAUUCAUUCAGCCUUCGCCUGAAGACACCCAAUGAAGAGGCACUCAUUCACUCCUUCUGGAAGCAUCCCCUUCUGCCUGUUAGGCAGUCAUUCUUUCCAAUUGUCUUUCUGUCCCCAUUUGAUCCUGGUUCUGCCCUUCCAGACCAAGAAGGGCAGAUUUAAUCCCUCUUCCACUGGAAGACAAUUUCUCAUCUCCAACCUCCCUGUCUUUGCAUCCCAACUUCUAGAAAUCACUAGUUGGUAACACAAAUGGUCAGAUUAUUUCAUAUUUUUACUGCAGAAAACAAUAUGAGAGUGGGAGCAAGGGAAUUCUCCUCAUUGCUUUUAUCAAUCUACAAUGGGAGAGGAAUUCAUCAAUGUUCUGUAGAGUUGUCACGCUCCUUGAGUUCUUUGGUAUUCUAUGAAAUUGUCAGUAACCUUCUGAGCCAGAGGGAAGUCUUAUGAUUGAGGAACCAGAGAAGUUUUUACUGUCUUUUCAAAUGGGAAAAGAAAUCAGAACUGACAAUCAGACCCAGAUGUUUCUUGAAGAGGUCACGAAAGAAACACAACAGAGAGAAUGUGGGUUUAGAUUAAUGGAACAGGAGGGUGAUCUUGGGAAGCAGGAGAACUUUACCUUAAAGAAGCAUCUCAUCUCAGGCAUGAGCCUCUCAGGGAAGGGGCAUAAGUUUAUGAGCUAUUUCUAUCAUGCCAGUACCAUAGGGAUUGUGGUUGCCAUGACCACCAAAUUGUUUCCUCCAGUUCUGACCACCAUGACUAAUCUAAACUCUUGCCAAACAACCAUUCAAAUAAGCAGCAGAUGUCAGGGUCCUGUAGGGAGCCAGUCAAUCACCAAUGGGUUUGAUUAACAAAUUGCAGCAGCUAAAUUGAGCUUUCUGGAAAGUUUCAUGCACCACUUUAAAAAUUCAUAUUUCUUCAUGGACAGCCACAAAUAAUAUGUCACUCAGCUCUUGCAAUAAAAAGGCCUGGGUAAAAUGAAGAGAAAAUAAA